UUCUGAGAGUCCCAGGCCCACAGGCAGGACAGGGCCAGAUGUGGGGGCUGCUCCUCACGGCCUUACCUCCCCCAGACGUGCCUCUCAAUCCCUGACAUCAAGACGGCCUUCAGCGACUGCACCAGCAAGAUCGGCAGGCGGGACUGCCUGACCCAGGCCUGCUCGGCCCUCACAGGGUGAGUGGGGCUGCACCUGCGGGGGCUUUGGGGACCAAGACCCCCCGCCUCACACCCCCUGUCUUCACAGCAAAGGGGUGCGCGAGGGCAUCGAGUGGAUGGUGAAGUGUGUCGUGCGGAAUGUGCACCGGCCGCCGCGGCAGAGGGACAUCACGUAGGCGCAGCCGCGCUGCUGUUGGGACGGCUGGUCCCCUGGUGCUGGAGGAGUGGCCUCCUGUUGGCUCCCAUGCUGCUGAUCUGGGGGGUGGGUUUGCUUUGCUUUGGGGGUUUUCUAUUUUCUUUGUUUUCUCGAAGACAAACUUUCCUCUGUCUGGAAAAGCGUAGGCAUCCGGAGGCUUUGGAGGGGAGUCUGGCAGCCCGGCUGGCCCAGGCCCUGCAGCGGCAGCCUUUCCACAGCGCGCAGCGGCGGCCUUUCGAGGCCCUUUCUGGGGGGUCUGAGGGAGGCCUGGUUGGGAAUUGGGGCUCCAGUGCUCAGGCUGGCUUGGGCUGCAUGGGGACAGCCCUGUGGGACCCUCGGGAGACCCUGUGGCUGUCUGUCCGCCCCAUCGAGGAGGAGGCCUGUCAGCGCUGGGGAGACCCCGUGGCUGUCUCCGCCCUAUCAAGGAGGAGGCCUGUCAGCCAUGGCUGCCAUCUGGCUUCUGCCCUGUGACCCCGUGACCCUGGAAGUGGUCUGGGGUUGAUCUUGCCUUGAGGAAGACCCAGGCCAUGUCCCCAAAGGCCAGCGGGGGCCCUGGAUUGUGAUGCAGCCUCGGGACAGGGCUGAGGAGGCCUGUGGGGGAAGACAUAUACCCCACGCCUGGGCCUGGCUUCACCUCAUUUUAAUCCUCCAGGAGGGAGCUGACUGAUGCAAAAAGCUGAGGGGGCCUGCUGGGAGUGGCUGUUUUUAUGCCCCAGCCCUGCAAGUUGGGGAGUGUUUGUGGGGGUCCAGAGCCCUCUCCCAGCCAGGAGAGAACCUCCUGGAGGGGUUCUCUGUGGGGCCGUGUCAGUGCUCUGCUGGGCCUGCAUCCCCUGCUGGGGAGUAAGGCUGGUCCUGGGGUCCUCCCUGCACAGCCCCCACUAGGCCUGCAGAGGGCUCUGUUCUUCCUCAGUCUGGCUGUGGGCGGGAGCCGCCUGCCCAGUGCCACCCAGGGUGAGUGCAAAAUAAAGACGGCCAGUGUGGCUCUGUCCAUCCCUUCCCUCCUGGAGGGCCGAGGCUCCUGGCUGUUGGACACGG
This 1389-nucleotide small RNA is filed under the name Pongo abelii (Sumatran orangutan). RNAcentral's name for it is "processed transcript". The record is from RNAcentral. Lineage: Eukaryota; Metazoa; Chordata; Mammalia; Primates; Hominidae.